This 229-nucleotide long non-coding RNA is filed under the name Carica papaya (papaya). Its description in RNAcentral is "long non-coding RNA (CPAP_LNC005008)". The record is from RNAcentral. Lineage: Eukaryota; Viridiplantae; Streptophyta; Magnoliopsida; Brassicales; Caricaceae.
GAAGAGUGAAAUUUGGCUUUAAUAGCCAAAAGGGGCACAUGUGAUCCAUUAUAUCACAUGUAAUGGCCCUUGGCUAUUGAUCAGCCCUAGUUGCUAACCGACCAUCCCAUUAUGGCAUAAAUGCCUUGGGCAGCGUGUUGUUCCCCCUUGGGCAGCAUGCACUAUCUUGGGCAGUGUGUGCCACUGAUUGGGUGGUGUGUUGUUGUUGGUUGGUGUGUUGUUGUUGGUU